Gossypium raimondii (Peruvian cotton) is the source of this 139-nucleotide non-coding RNA. The record is from Rfam. NCBI's taxonomy places the organism in Eukaryota, Viridiplantae, Streptophyta, Magnoliopsida, Malvales, Malvaceae.
UGUUAAAAAAUUUAUUCAUUUGUAUUGUUAAAAAUUAACAUGGUUGAUAGAAUAACCAAACAAUGACGCUUGGCGUACCAGGUGUAUCUCAUACUGAUGUACAAUGAUUGGACAAUAGAAAUGGAUGAAAUUUUUAAUA